Molecule: long non-coding RNA, 1086 nt
Filed under: Salvia miltiorrhiza (redroot sage)
Lineage: Eukaryota; Viridiplantae; Streptophyta; Magnoliopsida; Lamiales; Lamiaceae
Description: long non-coding RNA (SMIL_LNC008689)
Source: RNAcentral
CAGAAUACAUCACCUUAUAAUUUUGUUGCAAAUUGCACACGGCGAAAAUUCCGGCAACUCUUAAGUUUGACCGACGAUGACAUGGACAGUCACGUGAUUUUUUUUACACGUUGGCAAACCAUGUGAGCAAAACGACGUCGUUUUGAUAAAUUGAAGAAUAAAAAAAAUAAAAAAAAAUCCUUGCUUUUCCGGCGAGCCAUUCCACCACCACAAACCACCGCAACCACUGUUUUUCCUCACCUCCACCAUAACCACCACCACAAAAAUCAAAGAAAUCAAAAUAUGAGAAGAAAUCACAAGCAUCUGCCUCUCCAUCGGAAACUUCAUGCCAGAAAUUAAACCCGCCGCCCAGCCUUCCCCUUUCUCUAGAUCCACGGCGGUAACCCUACCCCCGCCUACAACUCCGACGCCGACGUAGCAGCAAACCGGCACCCACCUCCCAGUUCAGAUCCCAUUCCCAGUUCCCAGCGAAAUUUCCAUCAAAUAUUCCUCAAAAAAUCCGAUCAAGAGCCCCCAAAUCUAAAUCGGUGGCUGGAACCUGGUGAGGCGGUUGACGUUUUACAGAUGGAAAAGGACGGCGGCGGCGCGAAAUAGCAGCGCAGCGGCGACGUUUGGCCUCGAUGGUGGUCGGUGCGCGCGCGUCUUGUGGCGAGGAGGGCGGAGGCGAGCGGCGUUUUACAGAUGGAAAAGGACGGCGGCGGCGCGGAAAUAGCUGCGCAGCGGCGACGUCUGGCCUCGAUGGUGGUUCAGGCCCGCGCGACUUGUGGCGAGGAGAGCGGCGGUCGGCGACGAAUUGGAGUGGUGGUGGUGAACUGAGGCAGGCGGCUGGUGAGGGAGGCGCUGGUUUUGGAGUGAGGGAGGUGAAGAGGAAUUAGGGUUUUCAUGAAUUUUCCAUUUUUAUUUUUUAUUUUUAAUUAUACUCACUCAAAACGACGUCGUUUUGAAUGCCGGUGAGUCCACGUCUGAAAAUUCCGGUGCCACGUCAACACCGAUCAAGGUGGUGGUCAACGCAUGUGCAAUUUGCAAUAAAAUUAAAAGGUGGUGUAUUCUGGAGCUAAUUUUAAAGGUGAUGUGCAAUAUGCAAAU